Molecule: ribosomal RNA, 154 nt
Filed under: Clusia obovata
Lineage: Eukaryota; Viridiplantae; Streptophyta; Magnoliopsida; Malpighiales; Clusiaceae
Description: 5.8S ribosomal RNA
Rfam family: 5.8S ribosomal RNA
About the family: 5.8S ribosomal RNA (5.8S rRNA) is a component of the large subunit of the eukaryotic ribosome. It is transcribed by RNA polymerase I as part of the 45S precursor that also contains 18S and 28S rRNA.
Source: RNAcentral
AAAACGACUCUCGGCAACGGAUAUCUCGGCUCUCGCAUCGAUGAAGAACGUAGCGAAAUGCGAUACUUGGUGUGAAUUGCAGAAUCCCGUGAACCAUCGAGUCUUUGAACGCAAGUUGCGCCCAAAGCCUCGGCUGAGGGCACGUCUGCCUGGG